This 250-nucleotide ribosomal RNA is filed under the name uncultured bacterium. Its description in RNAcentral is "partial 16S ribosomal RNA". It matches the Rfam family "Bacterial small subunit ribosomal RNA", at positions 28 to 282 of the family's 1533-position model. The record is from RNAcentral.
GACGAACGCUGGCGGCGUGCUUAACACAUGCAAGUCGAACGGUAAGGCCUUUCGGGGUACACGAGUGGCGAACGGGUGAGUAACACGUGGGUGAUCUGCCCUGCACUUCGGGAUAAGCCUGGGAAACUGGGUCUAAUACCGGAUAUGACCGCGCGCUUCACGGUGUGUGGUGGAAAGCUUUUGCGGUGUGGGAUGGGCCCGCGGCCUAUCAGCUUGUUGGUGGGGUAAUGGCCUACCAAGGCGACGACGG